AGAGUUUGAUCMUGGCUCAGAACGAACGCUGGCGGCGUGCUUAACACAUGCAAGUUGUACGAGAAAGCGAUCUUUCGGGAUUGUGAGUAAAGUGGCGCACGGGUGAGUAACGCGUAGGUAAUUUACCCAUAUGACUGGGAUAACAUCUCGAAAGGGGUGCUAAUACUGGAUAAGACCACGAUUAUACGUAAUAGUGGUAAAAGGUAGCCUCUAUAAAAAAGCUAUUACAUAUGGAUAAGCCUGCGUACCAUUAGCUGGUUGGUGGGGUAAAGGCCUACCAAGGCGACGAUGGUUAGCUGGUCUGAGAGGAUGAUCAGCCACACUGGAACUGGAACACGGACCAGACUCCUACGGGAGGCAGCAGUGAGGAAUAUUGCGCAAUGGGGGAAACCCUGACGCAGCGACGCCGCGUGGGUGAGGAAGGUUUUCGGAUCGUAAAGCCCUGUCAGGAGGGAAGAAGUUAAUUGAUAUGAAUAGUAUUAGUUAUUGACGGUACCUCCAAAGGAAGCACCGGCUAACUCCGUGCCAGCAGCCGCGGUAAUA
RNAcentral lists this ribosomal RNA (543 nucleotides) under uncultured bacterium. Its description in RNAcentral is "bacterial SSU rRNA". It matches the Rfam family "Bacterial small subunit ribosomal RNA", at positions 8 to 525 of the family's 1533-position model. The record is from RNAcentral.